UACAGAGGUCCCAAGCGUUAGGCGGAAUCACUGGGCUUAAAGGGUGCGUAGGCGGGUCUUUAAGUCAGGGGGGAAAUCCUGGAGCUCAACUCCAGAACUGCCUUUGAUACUGGGGAUCUUGAGUUCGGGAGAGGUGAGUGGAACUGCGAGUGUAGAGGUGAAAUUCGUAGAUAUUCGCAAGAACACCAGUGGCGAAGGCGGCUCACUGGCCCGAUACUGACGCUGAGGCACGAAAGCGUGGGGAGCAAACAGG
RNAcentral lists this ribosomal RNA (253 nucleotides) under uncultured bacterium. RNAcentral describes it as "partial 16S ribosomal RNA". It matches the Rfam family "Bacterial small subunit ribosomal RNA", at positions 524 to 776 of the family's 1533-position model. The record is from RNAcentral.